GAUGAACGCUAGCUACAGGCUUAACACAUGCAAGUCGAGGGGCAGCGUGUACAGGUGCUUGCACCAGUACGACGGCGACCGGCGCACGGGUGAGUAACGCGUAUCCAACCUUCCCCGUAGUAGGGCACAGCCCGGCGAAAGUCGGAUUAAUUCCCUAUGUUCUCCAAUGCAGGCAUCUAAGUUGGAGCAAAGAUUCAUCGCUAUGGGAUGGGGAUGCGUCUGAUUAGGUUGCAGGCGGGGUAACGGCCCACCUGGCCAACGAUCAGUAGGGGUUCUGAGAGGAAGGUCCCCCACAUUGGAACUGAGACACGGUCCAAACUCC
This 322-nucleotide ribosomal RNA is filed under the name uncultured Prevotella sp. RNAcentral describes it as "bacterial SSU rRNA". It matches the Rfam family "Bacterial small subunit ribosomal RNA", at positions 28 to 339 of the family's 1533-position model. The record is from RNAcentral. Lineage: Bacteria; Pseudomonadati; Bacteroidota; Bacteroidia; Bacteroidales; Prevotellaceae.